This 355-nucleotide RNase P RNA is filed under the name Bacteroidetes bacterium GWF2_49_14. RNAcentral's name for it is "RNase P RNA component class A". It matches the Rfam family "Bacterial RNase P class A". Rfam says of the family: Ribonuclease P (RNase P) is a ubiquitous endoribonuclease, found in archaea, bacteria and eukarya as well as chloroplasts and mitochondria. Its best characterised activity is the generation of mature 5'-ends of tRNAs by cleaving the 5'-leader elements of precursor-tRNAs. Cellular RNase Ps are ribonucleoproteins. Lineage: Bacteria; Pseudomonadati; Bacteroidota. The record is from RNAcentral. RNAcentral also lists the same sequence under 1 other name.
GCAGCAGACCGUUCUAUCGCUGGUCCGUGAAAGCGGACGAGAGGAAAGUCCGGGCAACGCAGAGCGCCAUGCUUCCUAACGGGAAGGUGCCGAGAGGCACAGUAGUGUAACAGAAAACAACCGUCCCGGAUUACGGGAUAAGGGUGAAAAGGCGGGGUAAGAGCCCACCAGUCCGUAUGGUGACAUUCGGAGUUGUACACCUCAUGGGUUGAAAGGCCAUGUAUACCGGCAAUUAAGGGCUGCUCGCCCGAUGUCGGGGGGUAGGUCGUUUGAGUAAACGGGCAACCGGUUACCUAGAUAAAUGAUAGAAUUCCGGCAACGGAAACAGAACCCGGCUUAUAGGUCUGCUGCUUUU